AGAAACUACAGCAGGUCAAAGAAAAAGAAGAGAGAAAGAUUGACUCCAUCUCUGCAUUCGCUCAAUGGAGUGACCAAAAGAAGGAUGUUAUUGAAGAGAAGUUAAGGGCAGAACGCAAGAAGGAGAAGAUAAAGGAAGUGGAGGAGAAAUAUGAAAAGGAGGAAAAAGAAAAAAUGGCCUUGGAGAUGUAUGAGAAAUGGCUG
Molecule: long non-coding RNA, 203 nt
Organism: Sinocyclocheilus grahami
Lineage: Eukaryota; Metazoa; Chordata; Actinopteri; Cypriniformes; Cyprinidae
Exons: 2
Source: RefSeq, a predicted model, not a curated record